AUUAGACAAGCUUUAUGUGUGUGGGCGUAAUUCUUUUAAGGCAGUAUGGAGAAAAACGCAAAGACAUCAAAGGCAUCCUCGUGCAAAAUGGGAGAAGGUGGAGGUGUAUGGGGUGAAUGUGUUCGUUUCAAAUGCUAAUAAAAUUGUGAAAAGAAAUAUUUUUAGCUUAACGCCAUAAUUCUUUUUCAUCGUGGCCUUUGCCCAACGACCCCGGUCGCGUGCUUUUCCCUCCGUAAACAAAGCGCCAUUACUAAACCAAAACAAACAACCACAAUAAAUAGUAACAACGAUGCAAUCAAAUUUAUGGUUAUAGGCAAGUACCAUGUAACGAUAGCGUAACAAAGAAAGCUGCACUAAAAGGGUUGCGCAUUUUUUUAAUCUAGUAAACUUGAUCCACUCGACUUUGAUUGACAUUCACCUGACUAUAGCCUUGUCAGCCUAAGCCUUGGACUAGACUAUAGUUUUCUCUGCCACACUCUCUACGUUUCUCUACUCUUCCGUACGUUGUCUUGGUGUGGCAGGUGGUUGCGAUUGUAUUGCUUCGCUAGGUAACUUGAAGGCUCGAUGGAAAACAUGGCAAAAGGCACUUGUCGAAAUUCAUGUGCUGGAUUGGGUUAUUCGAGAAAGAAAUGCCGAAGUUGAUAACGAGAUUGUUUCCAAAAGGAUGCCAAUUUGGGUCACUUAGUAGACAAAAGUUACGUAAUUUUGUAUUUAUCUGAAGGUGCGUUUGCAGGUGGAAAAGGAACUUUGUCCCGGUUAACAACCGCUGCAGUCACGGCAGAGGAUAGCGUAGAGUGGCGGAAUUCGUUAGUGAGGUUCUUUAGAGGGACGAGGCAGAAAGCGGUAGAAGGUGUUGAAGGGAAAAUAGCAGAAGCUAAUGGAAUACGCUAAAAAUAGCAGUGUGUGGCGAGAUGCGGUAGGAAGAAUAACGAAAAGAAUGUUCCAUGGCGAACUUUUUGUUAAAGUGUCAGCAAUACUACACUACGCUAUAAUACACUACAUUGCGUAUCACUAUAUGUCACAUGUUCUAAUUAUAUAUCGUACUAUGUAUGAUACGAUAUUGAGAUUGAUCUUAAUGAUAAUCUAUUAAGAUCUAUAUUAUCUGAAUACUAUAAAUAGAGCUACUGCUGAACCUCGUUCCUCAGUUCAGUUAUGAGCUAUAUUAGUGAUAGGUAACAUUAUAACCCAGUUAAUACAAUACCUAUACUCAGUUGCUACUUAUACAACCUGUGU
Molecule: non-coding RNA, 1233 nt
Organism: Schizosaccharomyces pombe (fission yeast)
Lineage: Eukaryota; Fungi; Ascomycota; Schizosaccharomycetes; Schizosaccharomycetales; Schizosaccharomycetaceae
Source: the annotation of a GenBank genome assembly